CAAGGGUUAAGUGCUACAUAUGUCGUGUGAUUGGAGAUCCUCAGCUGAGUAUUAAUCGAUUCGGAUCGCCGUUACUUCUCGGACAUGAAGACUUGGUCACUGACUUACACGUAGCAUUCCAGUGAACUUAAAGGGUUGAUAAAAGAUGGCUAGUGCAGGUCAAGUGAUUGAACUAGGGUAGAAAGAACUCUAGAUGCAGGUAAUUUUACUUAACCUGACAAGUAAAAAUGGAUUUUUAAGGAUCCACUCAUAGUAAGCUUUUCUGCAAAACAGAGUCUUCGAUUUUUGAUAAGCCAUACCUUGAUUCCCUCUAGCCAUCAUACCCUUGAGAGUCUUUUUGUUAGUCGGGUAAGUCUUGCUGAGUAAUUCCGUACUCUGGGUUUUAUUCCCUGUUGUUUUUCAGGUUAUAGUUUUGUGCUGCUGAUGAUGGUGUUAAGUGUCGGUGGGCUCGACCUUCUUAUAAGUCUAAGUAACCCUUCUAUACUUCUUAUUGAGGAUGGUCACUUGAGCUAGCAUAUAUUUCAAACUUACAAAUAAUUUAUAACAUUUCAAAGUUAUUCCUUUGAACCACUUUUGUAACCACUCCGAUAAAUACAAUGUAAACUUGUUGUAACUUGUAAAAUUUGGUAAUAAAAUUCCACCGCAAGAUGUUGGUGUGUGAUUUGUGUUACUUAAUCUUGUGGUCUUGGUUGUAAGUGGUUUAUCCGAGGUCCUUGGGACACUCGGACAGAUCCUGUUAAGUUAUCUGGUGCACAUGCAUAGCCGUCUGAGGUCUUUGAGACAAGGGCAGGUGCAUGUGGGCCCAAUAACUUGGGAGGUUCUGCCAUAGCUGGUAUCGGAGCAGGAUUAAGUUUAUACAGUCACAUACGUAUUUUCAAAACAAAAGUUUUGGUUUCAAAAAAUCUAUUUUCAACUAAACACAUUGUUUGGCUUUGAAAAACAGUUUUGAAAAACUAUAAUGCUAGCGACAUCCUCUAUUAAGCCCUAAGUAAAGGACUAUCAGGUGGCUUAGUUCAAAACCACUAACCCACAACCGGGUGGGUAUUGCAUACAUGUGUAUUGUUCUUUUUGAGGCCAUUCAGUUUUGAAUGGAUCGACGCUCAGGUAAGGUGAGAUGUGAGAGCAUGACCGAACAAACGUCGAUCUAAGGAAGGGUAUGAAAAGCGCUUGAUUAUAUACAUGUUUUACAUGUGUAUAUAUGAAGGCUGCGAUGCAGAGUAUUUACUUCUUCUGGGAAUUCAGUACCCCAUGGAUGUGUAUGGGUAUACAAACAUGGGAAUACUAAGAAGUGUAAUGUACUUGCAACGAUGCACCUACGCUCAGGUAAGAAGUUGAGUUACCAUAAUGAGUUGUCCUAUGGUUAAAGUGUGGCAACGGCACCUAUGCGUGGCUCGACGCUUAAUGAUGAGCUGGCCUCCAUAUAGAAAUAUAUGAAGUAUAAACUAUGAUAAACUGUCAUGUGUGAAUUGCAUCAUGGGAAAAAUGGGCUGUGAUGGAAUUUUCUGCAGGUACACUAACCUCGAAAACGUAUGUGUAGCUAACGAAUAGCAAAAUAUCGAGAGAGUCAUAAGUAUGCCACCGAUAUAGAACGCUAUUGCCACAUUAUGUUGGCAAAACUCGUGAGGACGCAUAGGACGAGCAUGCAUCCUGAUUGUUGCAUCAUGUUUGUCACCUAUACAUCCAAACUGCUUCUCUCAUCCUUAUUCCAGUAACCAGUGAUUGUAGAUAAUGUGGUGUAAUGAUGUAUUAUGGACUUCGAUGAAAUAGCUGUCCUCCAUUCUUUAGGUAACCUAUUUAGGUGUUAUAUAUGUGUUUGCUCUGGUGCUUGAUGUACUGAUAGAAGGUUAGUAGUUUAGUUGCUUAAACCCAUAACUAGGCCAUGUUCUUAUUUAGUGAACCAUGACCCAAAUUUGAAUUUUCCGUUAUCCCUCCAUGACUAAACUCGUACAAAUAAAUGCUUAGGUAAAUUCUUUGUUGAACAUAAAGUGUACCCAAGCUUAAAACAAGAAUCUCGAGUCAUGUCUCCAUCCUAAACCAUGUCCUUGUUCGAUUUGUGCAAGUUGAUGUCUCUAUUCCAGUUUGCCUGUUCUUAAGGAUCGUCAUGUUGCUUUGUCAACCCAACUUAGGAAAGACAUGCCCGAUCAUCUUCUUGAAUUUGAUGCCUUUGGUUUCCCCAUACCUAUCAAAGGCAUACCAACUUAAUCCUUGACUUGUAAUUGUUGCGCUGGGCAUAGAAAUAUGCUUGGGGCUGAAGUUACAGUCUCCCAUCGUACUCCCUCACCAACCAGUUUAGGUUAUGGCCAUGCCUUGUUCAUUUCAUCGGGCCAUGAUCUGUUUGGCUCUCUACUGUAACCGUUUUGAUAGCCUUGGAGCUUUUUAGUGUUGGAAAACAACUGAUUAGCUCUCAGAUUGGAGACUGAUUUUCCCUGCUGCUGAUGCAGGAGUUUGUUCAUUCGCUCUCUUAUUUAAUCCAUGUAUUUUCGAACCUAGUCUGUUCAUCUCGCAUGCAGAAACGGAUUAACAACAGAACCAAAUGGAUUUCUACUCAAGUGCAUAAUCUCCUGUUAGCAAAUGUGAACUCUCAACCAUUGGCUUACCGAUGGUACUGAGAGGACAUGCCCAAUGUCAAAAGUAGUUCAACAAGUUGGUUUUGACUAACUUGUAACUGCCCAAUGAAUGAAGAUUGAGUUUAGAGAUCGUUUUAUCGAUUUGCCUAAACUCAUUUUGGUUCAACCCACUUAAGGAAGUACUUUCAAGAAUCGAGAUUAAGUCGGCCAGUAACCACCUAAUGAUCGCUCUAGUCAUGCCUCGAUCGCCUCAUGUGUGCUUUUCCAGCAUGUGUGACCAAGUCAAGUCAUGCUUAGUGCUCGCUAAAGCGGAUUGAUUGUGAAGUCAACAUUUGUUGAUCAUCUUCACUAAUGUGUUCCUCGAAUUUUUAUUAUCUUCUUGGAACUUGAAUUCCUCAAGUGACCACUUGUUGGUAAACCUCCUUCUGUGUGUUUUACCCAAGAUGGUGCAUCUGAUUCUGUUUAGGUAAAAUCACGUAUUUACCGCUCACUCAACAGACUCAGAUAGUACAGUGUUAUCAGAAAAAGCAAACUGCACACAUGGAACCUUAUGUGUUCUUUUGGUAGAUAUCGUCUGGUGGACAUUUCUAAACCAGCUUGUGGUAAUACAUGAUAUGUCCACUAGAGAAACAACAUCCUGAGACACCCUCCUUUGCUUGGAACUGUUUUAUGGUCAUCGCUGAUAUGGACAUGGGUUACAUGCUUCUCUACUCUUAAGAGUCUUUCGCUCCGAAUCUCGAGACGAGAUUCUUUUAAGGGAGGAAGGUUGUAACACCCCAGGUGUUUAUAUUCCACUCGACAACGAGUAUGGAUUUAAGCACGUAAUAGCAGUGGAUAAAAUGGACGCUAAUUUAUAAACAUCUUCGUCUAUCGCGAUUUUAAUAUCGCACCUGUUUCGUCUGUCGCGAGUUCGACAUCGUUUUUAUUUAUCCGGGCUCUUCCCAAAAUUUCGUGAUGUUCGGAACAUCGUUGUUCCGAAAAUCGGUACGUCCGGUGAUUAUUUAAAAUUCAUCACUCGCGCAUAUACGAAUUUGGAAAUUUAGUCCAGCCUGCCGAUUUUCCCCAGAACGAAUUAACUGGAACUCGACGAUAGAAAUGAUGCAAAAUUAAAUCGGACUACACCCGGAAUCUAAGAAAAAUCGAGCGUAGAAUUACAAACUGAGUCGUUUCCUAGUCGACUCCGAUAUCGUUUAGCUUGAUCCGUUAACAUCAGACUAAAACUCGAACCAUGGUAAUUUAAUCUAUUCCUUACCAGAUAAUUUUUUGUCUGACUUCUACGUAAACCAAAGCUGAAUACAAUAUUGAAGUGGAAAUCAAUUCGAUUCAGAUGGUCGUUUCUCGCCGGAUUCAAAACUUCAGACAUAAAUAACUGAUUAAUAUUCAUAUGAUUCCAAAGUAUUCGCCAAAUCAAAACCAUGUCACAGUUACUGUCGACCCAUUUUACAUUGCUAAAAAUCGUGAUUGUAAAAAUAUCUGCGAUUUUUAAGAGAAGAAAAAUGAGAAAAUCUAAAAAUCUCCUCCACACUGCCUUCUCUCUCUCCCCCCAGAUUUUCCCCCUGCCGCUGGCUUAUCUCCAGCACGCGCACGCAGGGAAAAAUCGCGCCGCCCCAUCCUGAUUUUUCCUACAGCGCACGCCGUUCUUAUCUUCUUCACGCACGCAAUCUCUCUGGUGCUUAUUUCUCUGCCGCUCUUCUCUCGUGUUUAUCCCAGCCGGCCAAGCUCCCUAGUGCCUAGCUCCACUGCUCCCAUGGCGUGCGCCGGUGCCAGCUCGAGUCCCUCCCCAGCCGUGUCUCCUCCCCUCCUGACAGCCGCUCUUCUUUCUUCCUUCCCCGGCGUCGGAUCCUAGCUCGUAGAGCUUCCUCUGCGCGGCGCUCCUGUGUCCCGAGCUCCCUCAGCCAUGGCGCGUUCUCCCUGUGCGCCCAGCUGCUUCUCUCCCUCCCUCUACUUCUUCCUCGAUGCGCGCUCAUCUCCAUGCGUGUGCUGCCGCGAGUCCUUCCAUGGCUGCGCGCGAAGCCCUCUGCUCGUCGCGCCCUGGAUCUCCUGGCCACCGCGCCUGCUUCCUCUCUCCCUUCUCGGCCUCUGUUCUGAGCUCGCGCCCAGCUUCCCUGUGCGCGCUUAGCUUGGAGCUCCCACAGCCUAGCUCGGGUCUUUUCCAUGGCCGCGCGCACCUCAAGCUCGGCUCUCUGGUGCCGCGCGCGCGCCUCUGGUUCGCCCCUGCUCGGACUGCGUUCACCCUGCUGCGCGUGUGGAGCUCCUCUGUUGUGUGUACGAAGUUCACUGCUCGCCACUGCACGUCGAGCUCCCGCGCCGAAUCCUUUUCUAGCUCGCCGCGACGCCCGUUGUCCUGCCUGCUUUGCUCACCUGCGUCGGCUACUCGCUGGUGCUCCAACUCGUCAGCUGUCGUUAUCCUAUCCACGCCAGCACGCGACUAUGGUCGUGUUCAUCGUAUUCGCCAACGCUCUGUUGCUGAUUCGACUGUCGUCGCUGGUGAUAGUUUCGCAUGCUAUCGAGCCUGUUGUUUUCCAUGUCCUAUGCUCGCGCGGCUUUAUGCUCGCCAGCGCGCCCUCUCGACUCGCUCGGCCUUAAUCUCCAUCACAUCGUCGACCUCGCCGAUUGUCGUCGUUCGUCGUCGCGUCGCGUGUGCAGCUCUAUAUACAUCACCCUCUUGUAUCGUCGUCGAACCUGUCAUCCCCUGCACGACUCCCAAGCAACCCCCCUGAUCCGCGUCCUGCUCGCUGUCGACUCUCGGCACCACAAGCUCGUUUUCCCUUGUGCACAUCCCCAUAGACCCUGUCUCAUCACGCGUGUGCGUUAUCGAUCUCAUCGUUGUUUCGUGCAUCCUCAAGAAAUACAAAGCGUCGGGUGAAGACGAAGCUAGCCGUGUGAUAUUCACCAAGUGCACGACAAAAAGCUCGAACAAGUCGUCAAUCGUCAUCCUCGUCUACGCCAAUCCCCAAGCCGUGAAGACACUCUUGUGCUGGCCACGCGUCACCAGCUCGACAAAAAGGAAUCCCAUGGGUAUUUGGUCAAGAAUAGAAACUGUGUGCCUCGCUCGCCAGACAUGUGUGAUCAAUGACGUCGACCGGAAACCGUCAUCGUGCUUCCGACUAUCGCGUCGAAUUAGUCAGGGUAAGCAAACUUGUUAUUCGUAUUAGUGGAUUGAUGGAUGGUUUGACUAGGUAUAAUAUUUAUUAGAUUGCCUGAGUCACUUUGGCAAUUUGGUCGAUGUCGUAGGAUGAAAGAGGUCUCAAUAGGUCCAAGUGUUUGCGGGACUGUAGGUGUUAAAAAUGGGAAGUUUCAUUAAUAUAUAUGAUACACAGGUUAACCGGUAAAUUAGUUUAAAAAGUUAAGGAAAGUUCUUCUAUCAAACUUUAUAAGUGUUAGGUGUCCAAGAAUAUUGAAGUUAAAGUUAUAAGUCAUUUAGUGUGCUCUCUAAACUAGGUACGAUAUUCUAUGUGUGCUAGUCGAUUUCAUGAUUUGAAUGGAUGUUGAUUGCUACUUCGAAUAUUUAGGAUCAAGUAACAUCGAUAUAUUGUAGCUAAAAAUGAUAGAGUGUGUUUAUAAUUUAUUAUUUUAUGACUAUUGCGCGUAGUCGUAUAUCGGAUAACUAGUGUUUCCGUAUAAAAUUGUACAACGCCUCACCGCUAGGUGUUAAAUUCGCUAUCGCGUAGCACUAUUUAGGAUUGUAAUGUUCUUGUCUAUAUGCAUUCAUGUGCAUAAUGCAUUUCAUUCAGGUACGUUAAUUAAUCGCGUGAUGCGGAAGACGAGUCAAGUCGACCCCAAGCGCGGACUACUCCGCAUGGUGAUGUUGAUGGACGAACCUGCCUAAUCAAGUGCUAGGACAAGGAUGAUCGUCAAGUGAACAUCGCCUAACAAACACUAACCUAGUGUUAUUCAGGCAAGCCACGAUGCAUUUGCCACCUCCUUGCUGUUUUAAAAUAUUUAUCACCUUGUUUGAUGCAUUAGGUGAUAGGAGUUGUGUGCUAAACCGUUGAUGCAUUUCCUUCCUUGAAAAUUUAUUACCCUUCCUUGACACCCAUUUUGAAAGGAAUUUUAUGAUGCUUAGUUUUGCUUUAGCAAACAAAAAUGUUUUGUUUUAAAACAAAAGUGAUGCUUCAGUGGGUGGGAAGUUUUCAAAAAUAAAACUUGAUGGUGGAUCCAUCACGGCCGUGAUGGGUUCAACAUCGUAAAAGAUAUACCUCUGCCAGGUACCAAACUUUGAGUUUUAAAUAAUAAAGCUGAGACCGGGCGGUUGACUUGCACGAGAAAGGAGUCUCAGUGUAGUGUCUCCGUCUGAGUCGAUUAAGGACGUUGUCGAUGUAGGCCUGCUGACCGAGGACCCUUUAAUUGGUCACAUGCCUCGUCAUGGGUAAACUUUGCCUCGGGCAGACUAAUACCAGAAUAAGAUAACACGCAAUGGGAGUGGAGAGAUGGCGAGAGUAGCGUGUACCCUCCGUGGCAAGAGGCUGGACGAUGGUGUAUCUAUGCUCUCGGUUGGCGUGAACCUGAUCUGGUCUUAAGAACCCCGGUGGCGAGUUGACAUAUGCAAGGGUUAAGUGCUACAUAUGUCGUGUGAUUGGAGAUCCUCAACUGAGUAUUAAUCGAUUCGGAUCACCGUUACUUCUCGGACAUGAAGACUUGGUCACUGACUUACACGUAGCAUUCUAGUGAACUUAAAGGGUUGAUAAAAGACGGCUAGUGCAGGUCAAGUGAUUGAACUAGGGUAGAAAGAACUCUAGUUGCAGGUAAUUUUACUUAACCUGACAAGUAAAAAUGGAUUUUUAAGGAUCCACUCAUAGUAAGCUUUUCUGCAAAACAGAGUCUUUGAUUCUUAAUAAGCCAUACCUUGAAUCCCUUUAGCCAGCAUACCCUUGAGAGUCUUUUCUUUAGUCAGGUAAGUCUUGCUGAGUAAUUCCGUACUCAGGGUUUUAUUCCCUGUUGUUUUUCAUGUUAUAGUUUUGUGUUGCUGAUGAUGGUGUUAAGUGCCGGUGGGCUCGGCCUUCUUAUAAGUCUAAGUAACCCUUCUAUACUUCUUAUUGAGGAUGGUCACUUGAGCUAGCAUAUAUUUCAAACUUACAUAUAAUUUAUAACAUUUCAAAGUUAUUCCUUUGAACCACUUUUGUAACCAGUCCGAUAAAUACAAUGUAAACUUGUUGUAACUUGUAAAAUUUGGUAAUAAAAUUCCGCUGCAAGAUGUUGGUGUGUGAUUUGUG
This 7780-nucleotide long non-coding RNA is filed under the name Zea mays. Its description in RNAcentral is "long non-coding RNA (ZMAY_LNC004134)". The record is from RNAcentral. Lineage: Eukaryota; Viridiplantae; Streptophyta; Magnoliopsida; Poales; Poaceae.